This 495-nucleotide ribosomal RNA is filed under the name uncultured bacterium. RNAcentral describes it as "partial 16S ribosomal RNA". It matches the Rfam family "Bacterial small subunit ribosomal RNA", at positions 28 to 507 of the family's 1533-position model. The record is from RNAcentral.
GACGAACGCUGGCGGCGUGCCUAAUACAUGCAAGUCGAACGCUGAAGGAGGAGCUUGCUCUUCUGGAUGAGUUGCGAACGGGUGAGUAACGCGUAGGUAACCUGCCUGGUAGCGGGGGAUAACUCUUGGAAACGAUAGCUAAUACCGCAUAACAGUAGAUGUUGCAUGACAUUUACUUAAAAGGUGCAAUUGCAUCACUACCAGAUGGACCUGCGUUGUAUUAGCUAGUUGGUGGGGUAACGGCUCACCAAGGCGACGAUACAUAGCCGACCUGAGAGGGUGAUCGGCCACACUGGGACUGAGACACGGCCCAGACGCCUACGGGAGGCAGCAGUAGGGAAUCUUCGGCAAUGGACGGAAGUCUGACCGAGCAACGCCGCGUGAGGGAAGAAGGUUUUCGGAUCGUAAAGCUCUGUUGUAAGAGAAGAACGAGUGUGAGAGUGGAAAGUUCACACUGUGACGGUAUCUUACCAGAAAGGGACGGCUAACUACGUG